RNAcentral lists this ribosomal RNA (497 nucleotides) under uncultured bacterium. Its description in RNAcentral is "partial 16S ribosomal RNA". It matches the Rfam family "Bacterial small subunit ribosomal RNA", at positions 28 to 507 of the family's 1533-position model. The record is from RNAcentral.
GAUGAACGCUGGCGGCGUGCCUAAUACAUGCAAGUCGAGCGAACAGACCAGGAGCUUGCUCCUCGGACGUUAGCGGCGGACGGGUGAGUAACACGUGGAUAACCUACCUAUAAGACGGGUAUAACUUCGGGAAACCGGAUCUAAUACCGGAUAAUAUCUUGAACCGCAGGGGGCAAUAGUGAAAUACGGUUUUGCUGGCUGGUAUCGAUGGAUCCGCGCCGCUUUAGCUAGUUGUUAAGUUAACGGGUUACCAAGGGGAGGAUGCGUUGACGAACUGAGGGGCUGGUCGGCCACACUGGAGCGGGACCAGGGUCCAGGCGCCUACGGGAGGCAGCAGUAGGGAAUCUUCCGCAAUGGGCGAAAGCCUGACGGAGCAACGCCGCGUGAGUGAUGAAGGCCUUCGGAUCGUAAAGCUCUGUAAUUAGGGAAGAACAAAUGUGUAAGUAACUAUGCACGUCUUGACGGUACCUAAUCAGAAAGCCACGGCUAACUACGUG